CGGAUUGGAGUCUGCAACUCGACUCCAUGAAGCUGGAUUCGCUAGUAAUCGCGCAUCAGCCAUGGCGCGGUGAAUACGUUCCCGGGCCUUGUACACACCGCCCGUCAAGCCAUGGAAGCCGGGGGUGCCUGAAGUGCGUGACCGCAAGGAGCGCCCUAAGGUAAAACCGGUGACUGGGGCUAAGUCGUAACAAGGUACC
Molecule: ribosomal RNA, 199 nt
Filed under: uncultured bacterium
Lineage: Bacteria
Description: partial 16S ribosomal RNA
Rfam family: Bacterial small subunit ribosomal RNA
Source: RNAcentral